GUUGAUAGGAUUUUAUGCAAAAAAGCCCAAUACUUAGCAUUUUGGCUAGCAAUUUUAUUUGAAUGUGAAGUAGCCAGAGCCCAAUUUGUGUAUAUGAAUUCAGUUUUUAAGUAUAAAAACAAUAGCUAUUUGGUUGGGCUAAGAAUAUUAAGAAAUGAUGAGGAAGCCCAAACCCAACAUUCUUUCAUUAAGCAGAUUAGUCAACCUUAUUAGCGUAAGUUAAAUUAUUCAGAUUAUUAAUUCAGAUUAGUUAUUCUUCAUACACGUAGCAUUUAGCUUCCACGCAGCUGCUCACACAAACCGACUCAAGUCAGUAUAAGCUUCAUCCCUCAAGCGUUGAACCAUUUUCUUCAUUCUGCAAAAUCUUAACUACUACUCCAGUAAACAUCCAUCCAACACACAAAUUACACACAAUCAUCCACAGCAGACAUCAAAGAAGGUAGUCUUUCUUUCAAUACAGUUAACUUUAUAUCAUAAAGGCAGCAACCAAGAACUGUGAUGAGUAAUAACUAUAAUCACAUAUGCAAUUCUGACUUCAUAAACACAGUUCCAAUUUCUUAAUAACAAUAAAGAAACAAACUUAUAACAUAUAAAAAUCGGAUCUUGAGCAGUAGCCACUCCGACAGACACCCUGAAUCAUGGAUUCCUGAAAUAGAAAAAUUAGGGAUUGAUUAGUUUGAGGUAUUAGAACUGAAAUAGGUUAUUGAAAUAGAAAAUAAAGAAAAAGAGAAAAGAAGAAGGAAAUAAUUAGAACAGGGGAAGGGAUGGCAGCAGCAGCAGCAACCGCGAGCCACCGCAGCGGAGGCGCGACUGGCGGCAGCGACCGCCGGCACUGCCCACGCCACGGCGGUCCGCGGUGGCCGCCAGUAGCACAGAGAGUUUGAGCGAGGGAGAGUAAGACAAAGACAGAGAAACACGGACAUGAGAGAAAGUAGAGCGAGAUAGAGGCAGGGAGAGAAGAGCAGAGCGGCGGCGACCACCGGCGCUGCUUGCGCCGCUGCGGCUCGCAGCGGCCGCUGCAAGCAAAGGGGCAGAGAGAGAGAGAUCGAGAUUAAGAGCGCAGAGAAGGCAGAAAGAGAGAGAGAUCGAGAGACAUAGAGAAAAAGAGGGAGAAAGAGAAGCUUACCUGAGAUGGAGUAGGUGGCAGUGCGACGGGGACAACGGUGGCGGUGAAACUCGCCGGAUGACUGGAGUUGAAGGGGGGAAAAUUAGAAACCCUAGGUUGAUUUUGAAUUAAGAAUUGGGGGAAAAGGAAGGAAAGGAAGAAGAAGGGGAGAGAGGCGCCGGCCUCGCCGCGCCGGAGGCGGCGAGGACUGGCGACGUCGCCGGGCGAGAGGGAGAGGGAGAGGGAGAGGGAAAGUGAGAGACGCAGGUGAGAGAACAGAGAGAAAUGGAGCCUGCGUAGAAAGAAAAAGAAGGAAGAAGAGAGAUGUUGACUUUAGUAUACUAGACUUAAG
RNAcentral lists this long non-coding RNA (1457 nucleotides) under Salvia miltiorrhiza (redroot sage). RNAcentral describes it as "long non-coding RNA (SMIL_LNC006653)". Lineage: Eukaryota; Viridiplantae; Streptophyta; Magnoliopsida; Lamiales; Lamiaceae. The record is from RNAcentral.